AUUCCGGGCUCGAAGGCUGUGCGGUCUGCCAGGAGCUGCGGCCCCGUCCGGCCCGGGCUGGCAUGGGUUGGAAUUGGAGCCUAUCCCCCAACCCGAAGGCUAACAGCAUCAUGUGGUUACUAACUGUUCCUCAUUCACCGGUUGAUGCCUCCCAGAAAAAAACGCCGCCAGCCUUCCCAGAAAGCCCCGCUGCUGUUCCACCAACAACCACUGGAGGGCCCCAAACACAGCUGUGCAUCUACACAGCUUCCCAUCACUCACACUCGACAGGUGCCCAGCAAGCCCAUUGACCACAGCACCAUCACUUCCUGGGCAUUCUGCUAGGUGCUGGGAAUCAAGAACAAGACCACUGGUCCCUACCCUCAUGAAGUUUAAAGAUAAAUAAGUUAUAUCUAGACCAGGUGUUGUGGCUUACGCCUGUAAUCCCAGCACUUUGGGAGGCUGAGGUAUCACCUGAUUUUGAUACAGCAGCAGGAAGCUUGUUCCCAGCCUACCAGAAACACCAAAACCGGGCGAGACACUCAAGUCGAAAACCUACCACCUCCAAGUUUCCACAUCUAACUUUUGAGAGUCCGCAAUCUUCCAGUUCAGAGACAUUGGGGAUCCCCUUAAUCCGAGAGUGCCCCAGUGAAUCAGAAAAGGAUGUUUCCAGAAGACCCUUAGUUCCAGUGCUCAGUCCCCAAAGCUGUGGGAACAUGUCAGUGCAGGCACUUCAGAGCUUACCUUAUGUGUUCAUUCCACCUGAUAUCCAGACCCCAGAGUCAUCGUCUGUGAAGGAAGAACUCAUUCCCCAAGAUCAGAAGGAAAACAGCCUUCUAAGCUGCACUCUUCACACUGGCACUCCUAAUAGCCCAGAGCCUGGACCUGUUCUGGUUAAAGACACCCCCGAGGACAAGUAUGGAAUAAAGGUCACAUGGAGGAGACGACAGCACCUGCUUGCUUACCUCAGGGAGAGAGGGAAGCUGAGCAGAAGCCAAUUCCUUGUGAAAAGCUGACUGCCAUCAGUAAUCUCAAUAGAAAAGAGAUAUGUUUUCUGGAGUCAUAAAGGAAUUCAAUUCCUAGGGUUUUUGUUUUUGUUUUUGAGAUGUAAUAUUGCUCUGUUGCCCAGGCUGGAGUGCAGUGGUAUGAUCUCACCUUACUGCAACCACCACUUCCUGGGUUCAAGCGAUUCUCCUGCCUCAGCCUCCCCAGUAGCUGGGAUUACAGGCACCAGCCACCAUGCCUGGCUAAUUUUUUUGUAUUUUUAGUAGAGAUGUGGUUUCUCCAUGUUGGCCAGGCUGGUCUCAAAAUCCUGACCUCAAGUCAUCUGCUGGCCUUGACCUCACAAAGUGCUGGCCCAGCCGAGAUUUGUUUUCUAAGAUACUUUGUGUCAUGAACAGUUCAGUUUAGUGUCAUGAACUAUUCACUUCAUAUUUUUCUUGUAUUAACUGUUUAAAUUUUUAAAAUAUCUUGUAGUAACUCUUUAAAAUGUAUGUAAGUAAAUGGCUGCAGAAAGUUUUUUUAGAGAAUCCUGCUUCCAUCAGUAAUACAGCAAUAUUACCCCAUCCACUAAUGGUCUUUGUUUCCUUAACCACUACUCAUUAAUCCUUAAUCACCUCAUUCAAACUAAUUCAUUCUGCAUUUUUGAGUACCAACUCUUGUCAGGCUCAGUGGCAGCUUCUACGACCUGAUGGAUGGAAAAAAAUCAAACUCUGUGACUCUAUGGUUGACUGCCACCUCUGCAACCUUGACUCAUCUGCUGAAAAGGCAAGAAGAAGAAAGGGCAGCAAGCCCUGUUUUAGGGACUACAUAAGAUGAGGGGAGAUAAGGGGGACAUAGAUGAGUUCUUUAGGAUUGCGUGUGUUUUGAGUUUUUGUUUCUAACUGAAGAAAUCUGUCAAUAUUAAAUAGGGUGGGAAAAUGGUUUCUUAGAAUAACUGUUCAACUGUGUGUAAAUAAGGAAAGUUUUCAAUGAGUAUUACUUAUUGUAAUUAAUGCAGAAGGACUUCCCCAGUCAACCGAAUGUCUCGGCCUUUUACUCAGACAAGUAGCAUCUCAUUAAACCCAUUCAUUUAGCAUUCA
This is an RNA transcript of Homo sapiens (human), 2060 nucleotides long. It is a transcript of the gene named RAD9-HUS1-RAD1 interacting nuclear orphan 1, with no coding region annotated. The transcript has 4 exons. The record is from RefSeq and is marked validated. Lineage: Eukaryota; Metazoa; Chordata; Mammalia; Primates; Hominidae.